This 421-nucleotide ribosomal RNA is filed under the name uncultured bacterium. Its description in RNAcentral is "bacterial SSU rRNA". It matches the Rfam family "Bacterial small subunit ribosomal RNA", at positions 355 to 773 of the family's 1533-position model. The record is from RNAcentral.
UAAGGAAUAUUGGUCAAUGGGCGGAAGCCUGAACCAGCCAUGCCGCGUGCAGGAAGACGGCCCUAUGGGUUGUAAACUGCUUUUGUACCGGAAUAAACCUACUUACGUGUAAGUAGCUGAAUGUACGGUAAGAAUAAGGAUCGGCUAACUCCGUGCCAGCAGCCGCGGUAAUACGGAGGAUCCAAGCGUUAUCCGGAUUUAUUGGGUUUAAAGGGUGCGUAGGCGGCCUUGUAAGUCAGGGGUGAAAGACGGCAGCUCAACUGUCGCAGUGCCUUUGAUACUGCAAGGCUUGAAUACACUUGAAGUAGGCGGAAUGUGACAAGUAGCGGUGAAAUGCAUAGAUAUGUCACAGAACACCGAUUGCGAAGGCAGCUUACUAAAGUGUGAUUGACGCUGAGGCACGAAAGCGUGGGGAUCAAAC